Molecule: long non-coding RNA, 263 nt
Organism: Rhincodon typus (whale shark)
Lineage: Eukaryota; Metazoa; Chordata; Chondrichthyes; Orectolobiformes; Rhincodontidae
Exons: 3
Source: RefSeq, a predicted model, not a curated record
AAGGUAACUUUCAAACAUGAUUCCUCAACUGUGGAAGUGCAAGAUGACCACAUCAAAGGUCCACUCAAGGUAGGAGCUGUUGUUGAAGUGAAGAACCCUGAUGGAACAUGCCAAGUAGGUGUAAUCAAUAAGCUGACUGAUGCAAGUUGGUACACUGUAGGCAGGGGACCCAAAACAAAGGGUCAUGAUCUCUGGAUAUGCAGUAGGCCACUUCGGACUGAAUUCAAGGGAGACUUCUUCAUUAAGGGUGAUGAACCUGUGGA